RNAcentral lists this ribosomal RNA (513 nucleotides) under uncultured bacterium. RNAcentral's name for it is "bacterial SSU rRNA". It matches the Rfam family "Bacterial small subunit ribosomal RNA", at positions 1 to 499 of the family's 1533-position model. The record is from RNAcentral.
UCGGCUUAGAGUUUGAUCCUGGCUCAGAACGAACGCUGGCGGCGUGCUUAACACAUGCAAGUCGAACGUGAAAAUCGCCUUCGGGCGAUGAGUAAAGUGGCGCACGGGUGAGUAACGCGUGGGUAAUCUACCUCGGGAACCGGGAUAACUCGCCGAAAGGAGGGCUAAUACCGGAUAACGUCUUGCUGCCCAAGCAGUAAGACCAAAGGUGGCUUUGCUGCCAUCUUGAGAUGAGCCCGCGUACCAUUAGCUAGUUGGUGGGGUAACGGCCUACCAAGGCGACGAUGGUUAGCUGGUCUGAGAGGACGAUCAGCCACACUGGAACUGAGACACGGUCCAGACUCCUACGGGAGGCAGCAGUGGGGAAUAUUGCGCAAUGGGGGCAACCCUGACGCAGCGACGCCGCGUGAGCGAUGAAGGCCUUCGGGUCGUAAAGCUCUGUCAGGUGGGAAGAACCCUCCGGUGGUGAAUAGCCACCGGAUCUGACGGUACCACCAGAGGAAGCACCGGCUA